GAUGAACGCUGGCGGCGUGCCUAAUACAUGCAAGUCGAGCGAACAGACGAGGAGCUUGCUCCUCUGACGUUAGCGGCGGACAGGUGAGUAACACGUGGAUAACCUACCUAUAAGACUGGGAUAACUUCGGGAAACCGGAGCUAAUACCGGAUAAUGUAUUGAACCGCAUGGUUCAAUAGUGAAAGACGGUUUUGCUGUCACUUAUAGAUGGAUCCGCGCCGCAUUAGCUAGUUGGUAAGGUAACGGCUUACCAAGGCAACGAUGCGUAGCCGACCUGAGAGGGUGAUCGGCCACACUGGAACUGAGCCACGGUCCAGACUCCUCCGGGAGGCAGCAGUAGGGAAUCUUCCGCAAUGGGCGAAAGCCUGACGGAGCAACGCCGCGUGAGUGAUGAAGGUCUUCGGAUCGUAAAACUCUGUUAUUAGGGAAGAACAAAUGUGUAAGUAACUAUGCACGUCUUGACGGUACCUAAUCAGAAAGCCACGGCUAACUACGUG
This 497-nucleotide ribosomal RNA is filed under the name uncultured bacterium. Its description in RNAcentral is "partial 16S ribosomal RNA". It matches the Rfam family "Bacterial small subunit ribosomal RNA", at positions 28 to 507 of the family's 1533-position model. The record is from RNAcentral.